RNAcentral lists this ribosomal RNA (201 nucleotides) under Triticum aestivum (bread wheat). Its description in RNAcentral is "partial small subunit ribosomal RNA". Lineage: Eukaryota; Viridiplantae; Streptophyta; Magnoliopsida; Poales; Poaceae. The record is from RNAcentral.
AUGCUAUCACAGUCAAGAAUGCUUACCCGUUGCCAGUCAUUGAUGAGUUGCUGGAUGAAUUGGCCGGAUCCGAGUGGUUUUCAAAACUGGACCUCAGGGCAGGGUAUCAUCAAAUCCGCUUGGUGGAACAAGACGAGCACAAGACUGCCUUUAAGACACAUCAAGGGCAGUUCCAGUUCAGGGUCCUGCCUUAUGGAGUGA